UGGGAUGUCGUCUAAAGGCAAGACACCGGAGUCUGGUUCCGGUAAUCGAGGUUCGAGUCCUUGCAUCCCAG
This 71-nucleotide transfer RNA is filed under the name Mycobacterium kumamotonense. Its description in RNAcentral is "Mycolicibacter kumamotonensis tRNA-Gln". It matches the Rfam family "tRNA". From Rfam's summary of the family: Transfer RNA (tRNA) molecules are approximately 80 nucleotides in length. Their secondary structure includes four short double-helical elements and three loops (D, anti-codon, and T loops). The record is from RNAcentral. Lineage: Bacteria; Bacillati; Actinomycetota; Actinomycetes; Mycobacteriales; Mycobacteriaceae.